Molecule: ribosomal RNA, 250 nt
Filed under: uncultured bacterium
Lineage: Bacteria
Description: partial 16S ribosomal RNA
Rfam family: Bacterial small subunit ribosomal RNA
Source: RNAcentral
UACGGAGGAUCCAAGCGUUAUCCGGAUUCAUUGGGUUUAAAGGGUGCGUAGGCGGGAUGAUAAGUCAGAGGUGAAAGCCAGCAGCUCAACUGUUGAACUGCCUUUGAUACUGUCGUUCUUGAAUAUGGUUGGAGUGGGCGGAAUGUGACAUGUAGCGGUGAAAUGCGUAGAUAUGUCACAGAACACCGAUCGCGAAGGCAGCUCACUAAGCCAUCAUUGACGCUGAUGCACGAAAGCGUGGGGAGCAAAC